This 881-nucleotide ribosomal RNA is filed under the name uncultured Methanogenium sp. RNAcentral's name for it is "bacterial SSU rRNA". It matches the Rfam family "Archaeal small subunit ribosomal RNA", at positions 5 to 894 of the family's 1478-position model. The record is from RNAcentral. Lineage: Archaea; Methanobacteriati; Methanobacteriota; Methanomicrobia; Methanomicrobiales; Methanomicrobiaceae.
CGGUUGAUCCUGCCGGAGGUCACUGCUAUCGGGGUUCGAUUAAGCCAUGCGAGUUGAGAGGGUUCAGACCCUCGGCAGACUGCUCAGUAACACGUGGAUAACCUGCCCUAAGGUGGAGGAUAACCCCGGGAAACUGGGGAUAAUACUCCAUAGAUUAUAGAUACUGGAAUGUUUUAUAGUCGAAAGCUCCGGCGCCUUAGGAUGGAUCUGCGGCCGAUUUGGUUGUUGUUGGGGUAACGGCCCAACAAGCCUGUAAUCGGUACGGGUUGUGGGAGCAAGAGCCCGGAGAUGGAAUCUGAGACACAAUUCCAAGCCCUACGGGGCGCAGCAGGCGCGGAAACUUUACAAUGCAGGAAACUGUGAUAAGGGAACCCCGAGUGCCCGUAUAUGCGGGCUGUCCAGGUGUUUCAAACGCAUCUGAAGAAAGGGCCGGGCAAGACCGGUGCCAGCCGCCGCGGUAAUACCGGCGGCUCGAGUGGUGGCCACUUUUAUUGGGCUUAAAGCGUCCGUAGCUGGAUUGAUAAGUCUCCUGGGAAAUCCGCCGGCUUAACCGGUGGGCGUCCGGGAGAUACUGUCAAUCUAGGGACCGGGAGAGGUGAGAGGUACUCCGGGGGUAGGAGUGAAAUCCUGUAGUCCCCGGGGGACCACCUGUGGCGAANGCGUCUCACCAGAACGGCUCCGACAGUGAGGGACGAAAGCUGGGGGANCGAACCGGANUAGAUACCCGGGUAGUCCCAGCCGUAAACGAUGCGCGUUANGUGUACCGGUGACCAUGAGUUACCGGGGUGCCGAANGGAAANCCGUGAAACGUGCCGCCUGGGAAGUACGGUCGCNANGGCUGAAACUUAAAGGAAUUNGGCGGGGGAGCACAAGGGCGAANU